UGUCCCCCACUAUAGUAGUGGGGGACACAUUGUUUUUGCCCUGUCUGUUGGUCUGUCUGUUGGUCUGUCUGUUGGUCUGUCUGUUGGUCUGUUUGCGCCAACUUUAACAUUUUGCAAUAAAUUUAGCUAUAUUGAAGAUAGCAACUUCAUAUUUGGCAUGCAUGUGUAUCUCAUGAAGCUGCACAUUUUGAGUGGUGAAAGGUCAAGGUCAAGGUCAUCCUUCAAGGUCAGAGGUCAAAUAUAUGUGGCCAAAAUCGCUCAUUUUAUGAAUACUUUUGCAAUAUUGAAGAUAGCAAUUUGAUGUUUGGCAUGCAUGUGUAUCUCAUGGAGCUGCACAUUUUGAGUGGUGAAAGGUCAAGGUCAAGGUCAUCCUUCAAGGUCAGAGGUCAAAUAUAUGUGGCCCAAAUGGCUUAUUUUAUAAAUACUUUUGCAAUAUUGAAGAUAGCAACUUGAUAUUUGGCAUGCAUGUGUAUCUCAUGGAGCUGCACAUUUUGAGUGGUGAAAGGUCAAGGUCAAGUUCAUCCUUCAAGGUCAGAGGUCAAAUAUAUGUGGCCCAAAUCGCUUAUUUUAUGAAUACUUUUGCAAUAUUGAAGAUAGCAACUUGAUAUUUGGCAUGCAUGUGUAUCUCAUGGAGCUGCACAUUUUGAGUGGUGAAAGGUCAAGGUCAAGGUCAUCCUUCAAGGUCAGAGGUCAAAUAUAUGUGGCCAAAAUCGCUCAUUUUAUGAAUACUUUUGCAAUAUUGAAGAUAGCAACUUGAUAUUUGGCAUGCAUGUGUAUCUCAUGGAGCUGCACAUUUUGAGUGGUGAAAGGUCAAGGUCAAGGUCAUCCUUCAAGGUCAGAGGUCAAAUAUAUGUGGCCCAAAUCGCUUAUUUUAUGAAUACUUUUGCAAUAUUGAAGAUAGCAACUUGAUAUUUGGCAUGCAUGUGUAACUUAUGGAGCUGCAUAUUUUGAGUGGUGAAAAGUCAAGGUCAUCCUUCAAGGUCAGAGGUCAAAUAUAUGUGGCCCAAAUCGCUUAUUUUAUGAAUACUUUUGCAAUAUUGAAGAUAGCAACUUGAUAUUUGGCAUGCAUGUGUAUCUCAUGGAGCUGCACAUUUUGAGUGGUGAAAGGUCAAGGUCAAGGUCAUCCUUCUAGGUCAAAUAUAUGGGUCAAAAUUGCUCAUGUAAUGUAACUUCUGCAAUAUUGAAGCUAGCAAUUUUAUAUUUGACAUGCAUGUGUAUCUCAUGGAGCUGCACAUUUUGAGUGGUGAAGGGUCAAGGCCAAGGUCAUCCUUCAAGGUCAAACAUCAUAUAGGGGGACAUUGUGUUUCACAAACACAUC
Dreissena polymorpha is the source of this 1318-nucleotide long non-coding RNA. RefSeq lists it as uncharacterized. NCBI's taxonomy places the organism in Eukaryota, Metazoa, Mollusca, Bivalvia, Myida, Dreissenidae. The transcript has 3 exons. The record is from RefSeq and is a predicted model, not a curated record.